GAUGAACGCUGGCGGCGUGCCUAAUACAUGCAAGUCGAGCGAACAGACGAGGAGCUUGCUCCUCUGACGUUAGCGGCGGACGGGUGAGUAACACGUGGAUAACCAACCUAUAAGACUGGGAUAACUUCGGGAAACCGGAGCUAAUACCGGAUAAUAUAUUGAACCGCAUGGUUCAAUAGUGAAAGACGGUUUUGCUGUCACUUAUAGAUGGAUCCGCGCCGCAUUAGCUAGUUGGUAAGGUAACGGCUUACCAAGGCGACGAUGCGUAGCCGACCUGAGAGGGUGAUCGGCCACACUGGAACUGAGACACGGUCCAGACUCCUACGGGAGGCAGCAGUAGGGAAUCUUCCGCAAUGGGCGAAAGCCUGACGGAGCAACGCCGCGUGAGUGAUGAAGGUCUUCGGAUCGUAAAACUCUGUUAUUAGGGAAGAACAAAUGUGUAAGUAACUAUGCACGUCUUGACGGUACCUAAUCAGAAAGCCACGGCUAACUACGUG
Molecule: ribosomal RNA, 497 nt
Filed under: uncultured bacterium
Lineage: Bacteria
Description: partial 16S ribosomal RNA
Rfam family: Bacterial small subunit ribosomal RNA
Source: RNAcentral